This 788-nucleotide long non-coding RNA is filed under the name Salmo salar (Atlantic salmon). Its description in RNAcentral is "lncRNA (ENSSSAG00000101966.1)". Lineage: Eukaryota; Metazoa; Chordata; Actinopteri; Salmoniformes; Salmonidae. The record is from RNAcentral.
CGACUCCGGGAUACUGGCCUUCUAGGCAGGGUUGCAAAGAAAAAGACAUAUCUCAGACUGGCCAAUAAAAAGAAAAGAUUAAGAUGCGCAAAAGAACACAGACACUGGACAGAGGAACUCUGCCUAGAAGGCCAGCAUCCCGGAGUCGCCUCUUCACUGUUGAAAUUGAGACUGGUGUUUUGCAGAUCUGCCAAUCUGCUCGGUGGAGUGUUCCAGGCCUGGAGUGGCAUGCUGGAACUUCCAGAGUCUUGUAGAGCUGAAGCAGUGUGAUGUGGUCCAGAUAAGAUCUAAACCAGGCCAGAACUUGUCCAUGUAGACCCAUUUGGGUUUCCAAUCUCUCCAAAAGAAUGUGGUGAUCGAUGGUAUCAAAAGCGGCACUAAGAUCUAGGAGCACGAGGACAGAUGCAGAGCCUCGGUCUGACGUCAUUAAAAGAGGGAUGAGGACUGAGGAGCCCUGUGAGCAGCCAGUCAAGCCCCCAGGUCUUGCCCCAGCCCAAGACCAGCGCCGGGCCCAGCCCCGGUCCACUCAGCUUUACCUUGCUCUGCGGAGGGGGAACAGCCAGAGAGAGAGAGAGAGAGAGAGAGAGAAAGAAAAAGAAAAUGUAUGUUGCAGCCUUGGAUGGUUUCCAAGUUACAUUAAAUUCUCACUGGGUGAAAAUGUGUUGAAAUUACACAAUUCUAUGCUCUUGUGAUUUGCCUAUCAGGAACCAGGUUUUGAGUUCUUUAUUGUUUCUCUGAUUAAUUAAUCUCCUGUUAAUUAUCAGAUAAUAGGAGAGCGUAACCCCCAU